CAAUUCAAUAUUUUGUUUCAUUUAUAAUAAUUUCAAACUUUUUACUCAAAUUAAUUUUAUAAUUGUAUAAGAUAAUUUUAUAGAUAAUUUUGUAAAAUGGUUAGUUCCAAGCAAUGGCAAGGUGAAUUACUGUGUUGGAUCGAUGUUGUAUGCUUAUCUGAUAUUUUGGACCCAACUUUAUGAUUCAACACGCAUAGAACAAGUGUUCAAAAAGUUGAAAUUAAGACACAAUGCGAAAAACAAAUGUUAAAAAGACAGAUAGAUGCAUAUGUAAAAUCACUUGACGAUAAGUUAAAAAUUAGGUGUGAAAAAUAUCAUCGACAUUCAAGAGAUUCGGAUUGUACUGAAGUCAAAAUUGUGGCCACUAGGCGUAUAUAUAUAUGGAUAUAAAAAUUAGUGAAUUAUACGGAAAAAUGACAUCAAUCCGGACGACUUCUUUUUAAAAGGUAUUAAAGACUACUCGGGCACGAUAUCAGAAAAUACCAAUGAGAUGAAAUUAUGGCUGGGAGCCUUGCGAAGUUAACGUAGAAAUGUGUUCAUUAAGCGAGACUGCUACUGUGAAAGUGUUCAGAAAAAUACAACCCGGUAAUGAAAUAACAAUAAGUUAUGGACCUAAUUAUUUUGGGACAGACAACAUAGAAUGGAUGUGCAUCUUCUGUGAAAUAAUAAACACUCAGAUCAUAACCAAAUCCAAAUAUAAGAUCCAAAUUAUCAAGGGGCGUACAUGAUGCCAGUUGAUGACUUCGAUAAUAGCAGAGUACAAGAAUUUCGAGAUGACAUAUGUGCACUCGACAUUGCCAAGCAUAUCGAACCUACUCAUUUUUGUAAAAAUUCGAGUGUUUAACAGAAAAGAUGUACUUCAGAGACAUAUAAAAACAGUACAUACGAUAAGAAAAGGCAUGCAUGGCAAUCAAUACCAAAAAGAUUUUAGCACAAGUUACGGUGUAACCAGGCAUAUAAAAAAAUACACAGUGGCGUGGCGCACGCUGAAAAAUAAAAAUUAAUUUCAGAUCACAAUACACCUAAUUGGUAAUUGUAGACAUUUAAUAUCAACAAUGUUUUAUAGAGGUGCCUAAUCAAAAUAUGUCAUGAAAAACAUAAUAAAAUGGUGUCACUAUUAUGAACUUGAA
Aphis gossypii (cotton aphid) is the source of this 1130-nucleotide long non-coding RNA. RefSeq lists it as uncharacterized. The record is from RefSeq and is a predicted model, not a curated record. NCBI's taxonomy places the organism in Eukaryota, Metazoa, Arthropoda, Insecta, Hemiptera, Aphididae. The transcript is spliced from 4 exons.